Molecule: small nuclear RNA, 172 nt
Filed under: Balaenoptera musculus (blue whale)
Lineage: Eukaryota; Metazoa; Chordata; Mammalia; Artiodactyla; Balaenopteridae
Description: U2 spliceosomal RNA (ENSBMSG00010002291.1)
Rfam family: U2 spliceosomal RNA
About the family: U2 is a small nuclear RNA (snRNA) component of the spliceosome (involved in pre-mRNA splicing).
Source: Rfam by way of RNAcentral
AUCGCUUCUCGGCCUUUUGGCUAAGAUCAAGUGUAAAACGUAACUGUGUGCCAUUACUAAACUUUUAUGAUUUAAAGUUGUUAUUAUUAUUUGACAUAUAUUUGAAAUGUGUGAGACACAUGCCCAGUACCACCACACUGAUUGCAUGAUUUCUGCUGCUGUAGUACAAUCU